GGCUGUGGGUGUGGUACCGAGGCUUCAGCGGGUGCCGCCCGCCUAGAGGGAGUGGAGCGGUGAGCACGUCAGGGGUGGGGGGCGCAGGUCAAGCUUUCACCAGUUUUUAAUUCUUUGAUGGGGUAAAUUUGAGCAAUUUUCUCGACUUGUCGACAUUCGUUAUUAACUGAGCAGGAAUCAGGAGAGGAACCCGGUCCUCUCCACACAGCCCAGCAGAGAGCCUACGACUAGAUUUGCAUCUUUACGUCCUGCGCGGAGGCUGCUACACACAUGCAGAAGUCAUGCUGGUGGCCUGGACAGUGAAGGGAGAGAAGUGGAUUUGGGAGACAUUUAGGAGCAGAAGAAUCCCAGACUUCUUAGAGAACCCAGUGACUUUUUGCACCUUAAAUCUGUGAAAUCCUCAUGUUUUCUUCUGCCGUAUCCAUAGUUCAAACAAAGAUGAGGCAAAGCUAGAUGCAUUCCUGAAGGAACCCAAGAAAUUCCUCUCUUUAUUUCUCUGGAAUGAAAUGAAUUCUCUAGACCACCAGUUCUAACCUUCAAAAACCAAACCUGUUUGUGAGAUCUCCUUCAAAUACUACUGUAGACCCCAGUGUUUAUUCAUUAAAUUUUUAAAAUAUUUGUUUUAUUUGGAAUCCA
This is a long non-coding RNA of Homo sapiens (human), 636 nucleotides long. Ensembl annotates it as ribosomal protein L23a pseudogene 7. Its record names the gene RPL23AP7. The record is from Ensembl. Lineage: Eukaryota; Metazoa; Chordata; Mammalia; Primates; Hominidae.